RNAcentral lists this ribosomal RNA (468 nucleotides) under uncultured bacterium. RNAcentral's name for it is "partial 16S ribosomal RNA". It matches the Rfam family "Bacterial small subunit ribosomal RNA", at positions 28 to 507 of the family's 1533-position model. The record is from RNAcentral.
GACGAACGCUGGCGGCGUGCUUAACACAUGCAAGUCGAACGGAAAGGCCCUGCUUUUGUGGGGUGCUCGAGUGGCGAACGGGUGAGUAACACGUGAGUAACCUGCCCUUGACUUUGGGAUAACUUCAGGAAACUGGGGCUAAUACCGGAUAGGAGCUCCUGCUGCAUGGUGGGGGUUGGAAAGUCUCGGCGGUUGGGGAUGGACUCGCGGCUUAUCAGCUUGUUGGUGGGGUAGUGGCUUACCAAGGCUUUGACGGGUAGCCGGCCUGAGAGGGUGACCGGCCACAUUGGGACUGAGAUACGGCCCAGACUCCUACGGGAGGCAGAUGUGGGGAAUAUUGCACAAUGGGCGGAAGCCUGAUGCAGCAACGCCGCGUGCGGGAUGACGGCCUUCGGGUUGUAAACCGCUUUCGCCUGUGACGAAGCGUGAGUGACGGUAAUGGGUAAAGAAGCACCGGCUAACUACGUG